GGCUGAGUAACGCGUAGGUGACCUACCCGGAAGUGGGGAAUAACUGCCCGAAAGGGUGGCUAAUACCGCAUGUGAUCGGUGAUUCGAUUCACCGCUUAAAGGAGUAAUCCGCUUCCGGCGGGGCCUGCGUUCGAUUAGCUAGUUGGUGGGGUAACGGCUCACCAAGGCGACGAUCGAUAGCUGGUCUGAGAGGAUGAUCAGCCAGACUGGGACUGAGAACGGCCCAGACUCCUACGGGAGGCAGCAGUCGGGAAUUUUGCCCAAUGGACGAAAGUCUGAGGCAGCAACUCCGCGUGAGGGACGAAGGCUCUAGGGUCGUAAACCUCUUUUCUCAGGGAAGAUCCAAGACGGUACCUGAGGAAUAAGCCACGGCUAACUACGUGCCAGCAGCCGCGGUAAUACGUAGGUGGCAAGCGUUGUCCGGAUUUACUGGGCGUAAAGAGCGCGCAGGCGGCUGGUCAAGUCCGAUGUGAAAUCUCCCGGCUCAACUGGGAAACUGCAUCGGAAACUGAUCGGCUUGAAGGUGGGAGAGGGUAGUGGAAUUCCCGGUGUAGUGGUGAAAUGCGUAGAUAUCGGGAGGAACACCAGUGGCGAAGGCGACUACCUGGCCCAUUCUUGACGCUGAGGCGCGAAAGCUAGGGGAACGAACGGGAUUAGAUACCCCGGUAGUCCUAGCCGUAAACGAUGAACACUAGGCGUAGUCGGUAUCGACCCCGGCUGUGCCGUAGCUAACGCAUUAAGUGUUCCGCCUGGGGAGUACGGCCGCAAGGCUAAAACUCAAAGGAAUUGACGGGGGCCCGCACAAGCAGCGGAGCGUGUGGUUUAAUUCGUCGCAACGCGAAGAA
RNAcentral lists this ribosomal RNA (845 nucleotides) under uncultured bacterium. Its description in RNAcentral is "bacterial SSU rRNA". It matches the Rfam family "Bacterial small subunit ribosomal RNA", at positions 104 to 968 of the family's 1533-position model. The record is from RNAcentral.